GACGAACGCUGGCGGCGUGCCUAAUACAUGCAAGUUGAGCGCUGAAGGUUGGUACUUGUACCAACUGGAUGAGCAGCGGACGGGUGAGUAACGCGUGGGGAAUCUGCCUUUGAGCGGGGGACAACAUUUGGAAACGAAUGCUAAUACCGCAUAAAAACUUUAAACACAAGUUUUAAGUUUGAAAGAUGCAAUUGCAUCACUCAAAGAUGAUCCCGCGUUGUAUUAGCUAGUUGGUGAGGUAAAGGCUCACCAAGGCGAUGAUACAUAGCCGACCUGAGAGGGUGAUCGGCCACAUUGGGACUGAGACACGGCCCAAACUCCUACGGGAGGCAGCAGUAGGGAAUCUUCGGCAAUGGACGAAAGUCUGACCGAGCAACGCCGCGUGAGGGAAGAAGGGUGUCGGAUCGUAAAACUCUGUUGGUAGAGAAGAACGUUGGUGAGAGUGGAAAGCUCAUCAAGUGACGGUAACUACCCAGAAAGGGACGGCUAACUACGUG
This 497-nucleotide ribosomal RNA is filed under the name uncultured bacterium. RNAcentral's name for it is "partial 16S ribosomal RNA". It matches the Rfam family "Bacterial small subunit ribosomal RNA", at positions 28 to 507 of the family's 1533-position model. The record is from RNAcentral.